GACGAACGCUGGCGGCGUGCUUAACACAUGCAAGUCGAGCGGUAAGGCCCUUUCGGGGGUACGACGAGCGGCGAACGGGUGAGUAACACGUGGGUGACCUGCCCUUAGCUCUGGGAUAAGCCUGGGAAACUGGGUCUAAUACCGGAUAUGACUCCAUAACGCAUGUUGUGGGGUGGAAAGCCUUGUGCGGCUAGGGAUGGGCCCGCGGCCUAUCAGCUUGUUGGUGGGGUGAUGGCCCACCAAGGCGACGACGGGUAGCCGGCCUGAGAGGGCGACCGGCCACACUGGGACUGAGGACACGGCCCCAGACUCCUACGGGAGGCAGCAGUGGGGAAUCUUGCGCAAUGGGCGAAAGCCUGACGCAGCGACGCCGCGUGGGGA
RNAcentral lists this ribosomal RNA (381 nucleotides) under uncultured bacterium. RNAcentral describes it as "bacterial SSU rRNA". It matches the Rfam family "Bacterial small subunit ribosomal RNA", at positions 28 to 407 of the family's 1533-position model. The record is from RNAcentral.